CGGCGCAGUGUCCGGAGCCGGGACCGGAAGAGCUGCCUCUUGUCCCGGAGACAUGGUGGAGAGCGGUCGUCCUUCCUCCUGCGUCCCGGCUGAACGAUUACCUCUCCGGGAUGAAUCUCCACCAAUGCGGAUGCCUCGGGUUACAAGAUGUGGUGCCUGGAGAUGCACCUGAUGUAAUCAUGCGUGUGUCCUGUGCUAAACAGGAGUUGCCUCUGACUACAUGAGAUGACAGGAUGAACCUGGUGUCAUCCCUUGUGUCCUGUGCUGAUGAGUUGCCUCUCUACAUGAGAUGACAGGAUGAACCUGGUGUCAUCCCUUGUGUCCUGUGCUGAUGAGUUGCCUCUGACUACAUGAGGUGACAGGAUGAACCUGGUGUCAUCCCUUGUGUCCUGUGCUGAUGAGUUGCCUCUAAAUACAUGAGAUGAAAGGAUGAACCUGGUGUCAUCCCUUGUUUCCUGUGCUGAUGAGGUGCUUCAGAUCAUAUAAUAUGGUGGCUGGAGAUGCACCUGAAGUAUAAUCCUGUGCUGAUCAGGAGGUGCUUCAGAUCAUAUAAUAUGGUGGCUGGAGAUGCACCUGAAGUAUAAUCCUGUGCUGAUCAGGAGGGUUACGGAGCCAAUUGACUGAUCACAAGUUUAUGGGGAAACCAAAUUUCAAAGUGUACCUGGAACGGAUGGAUCACAAUUUCGCAGAUUUAUUAAUAUUUUUCUGAAUAAAACUUAUGAAUAAAAAAAA
Molecule: long non-coding RNA, 732 nt
Organism: Pleuronectes platessa (European plaice)
Lineage: Eukaryota; Metazoa; Chordata; Actinopteri; Pleuronectiformes; Pleuronectidae
Exons: 10
Source: RefSeq, a predicted model, not a curated record